RNAcentral lists this ribosomal RNA (443 nucleotides) under uncultured bacterium. RNAcentral describes it as "partial 16S ribosomal RNA". It matches the Rfam family "Bacterial small subunit ribosomal RNA", at positions 338 to 795 of the family's 1533-position model. The record is from RNAcentral.
CCUACGGGAGGCAGCAGUGGGGAAUAUUGGACAAUGGGGGGAACCCUGAUCCAGCGACGCCGCGUGAGUGAAGAAGUAUUUCGGUAUGUAAAGCUCUAUCAGCAGGGAAGAAAGAAAUGACGGUACCUGACUAAGAAGCCCCGGCUAACUACGGGCCAGCAGCCGCGGUAAUACGGAGGGGGCAAGCGUUAUCCGGAUUUACUGGGUGUAAAGGGAGCGUAGACGGCGAUGCAAGUCUGAAGUGAAAGGCGGGGGCCCAACCCCUGGACUGCUUUGGAAACUGUAUGGCUGGAGUGCAGGAGAGGUAAGUGGAAUUCCUAGUGUAGCGGUGAAAUGCGUAGAUAUUAGGAGGAACACCAGUGGCGAAGGCGGCUUACUGGACUGUAACUGACGUUGAGGCUCGAAAGCGUGGGGAGCAAACAGGAUUAGAUACCCGAGUAGUC